RNAcentral lists this non-coding RNA (21 nucleotides) under Caenorhabditis elegans. The record is from RNAcentral. Lineage: Eukaryota; Metazoa; Nematoda; Chromadorea; Rhabditida; Rhabditidae.
UGAUUCCAUAACAUGUGUUUU